UGCUGCUAGAGACUAACUACCGAGAAAGGCUGCUCACCGUAUACAAUGAAGUGAAGAAGCGGCUAGACUAUCAAAUUGCUGUACAGCAACUGGCACGUCGUAAGGAACAAGAUCACAUGAUCAACUGGAUAGAGAAAAACGUCGUCCAGAGCAUCACUCCUCAACAGGAGAAGGAGAGUAUUGCCAAGUGCAUCUCCGAUUUGAAGAUGUUGUCGAAGAGCACGCGGGUGGCAGUAUAAUUGCACAACAUUGAAUUCCAGUCAGCUCUGCGUUGCUUCUGUGAUCUGCUGUUGGAAACUGUACAACUGUAACUCUAAAUUAAAAUAAGUUCUGUAUUCUCACUGUCUGAUUAGUAGCACUGAACUAGCAGCAGUCCCAGAGUAUGGUUAUAGCAGUUAAUUCUGACAUGUGAACAGGGACCUAUGUACUUGUUCCAGUUUUUUGUGCAGAAAUUGGGGUUCUGCAGAUGAAUAAAAACAUAAUUCUUCCUUUGUUAAAGCCAAA
Long non-coding RNA from Terrapene triunguis (Three-toed box turtle), 504 nucleotides. RefSeq lists it as uncharacterized. The record is from RefSeq and is a predicted model, not a curated record. Lineage: Eukaryota; Metazoa; Chordata; Testudines; Emydidae. The transcript is spliced from 2 exons.